UGCGUGCGGAAUGUAGAGCGAGUGAGCGUAGGAGGAAGUGACGUCGUGAAAGCCGAGAGAGCGAGAGUUAGCGGUAGAUACAUCAUCAGUGUAUCAAUAAAAAGUUUUGUUUGUGUGCGGAUGAUAAAACACGCACCUCCUCCGACCCAAGCCGGACUCAUGUGUGCUGCUCACUGUUUGCUGCUGCCACAUUUAAGUGCACGGGUUAGCACGCAUUAACUUCGGCCCUGGAGCAGGCCAGUAAUUUUCACCUGUGCUUCCGGUUGUGACGCAAAAGCAGGAAAGGAGCUGGAACAGGCUGUAAUCUUUACAUGGAGGUGCUGUCUGCCUAAGUGCCAGAGCCAGAGCUGCUGCGCCCAUGCCAGUUCUCAUGAACAGGUAUCUCUGUGGUAUGAUGGGGAGGCUGUGGCUGAUGCUGAUGCUGCCGAGUCCCCUGGGAGCUCUAAUUAAGAUACUGUAUGUCUUCUGUUUGUGGUGAAUGGAGGAUGAAAUGGUUGAUUGAAGACGAGAGGAUGGAGCCAAAAAGAGAUUAAUAAGGUUAGACUGGAUAAAGGGAUGGUCGGGUGAGUGUAUGUGGGUGAAUUAAGAAGUGUAUUUUGUGGCUGCUUGAAUGGGAAGAACUGUCAAUUGAGAAGGAGGAUUGGAUGGAUUAAUAGAUGAAUGGAUGGAUACAGGGUGUAAGGUCCAAUGAGAAAUAAUGGCAGACCUGGAGAAGAGUCAAAAGCGUUAGUCAAAGUAUUUUGACGGAUUUUGAUUAAAAUGUUAGAGUUGCGUGAUA
Long non-coding RNA from Notolabrus celidotus (New Zealand spotty), 778 nucleotides. RefSeq lists it as uncharacterized. The transcript is spliced from 4 exons. Lineage: Eukaryota; Metazoa; Chordata; Actinopteri; Labriformes; Labridae. The record is from RefSeq and is a predicted model, not a curated record.